Molecule: unclassified non-coding RNA, 487 nt
Filed under: Tolpis virgata
Lineage: Eukaryota; Viridiplantae; Streptophyta; Magnoliopsida; Asterales; Asteraceae
Description: partial external transcribed spacer
Source: RNAcentral
ACCUCGAUCCCAAGCACCAAGGAGCCGACGAUUUGGAUCAAGACCUACAUCCCAAGCACCAAGGUGCCUGGUUGAUAUGGAUCGCGAUCCCGAUCCGGAGCUCCAGGGCGCCGAGGAUUUCGAUCACGAUCCCGAUCUGAAGCACCGAGUAGCCCAGGAUAUGGAUCAAGACAUCGGUCCGAAGCGAUAAGGAGGCAAGGAUAUGGAAAAGUCCAAGCCUCUUCAGUUGUGGUACAACGCCUUGUUUGUCUUGUGCAUACGGUGGGUUUCCUGUGUUGCAUACCUAAUCAAGGGCAUCGUAUGGCUUGAUCGAAGUAAAUAUUCGUAAUGUGCCGCUUGCGGCGUUGCACGAACCUCGAAGCGGCCUCUGUGGCCCAUGUUGUCUUUGCUCACGCAUGGAUGGCAUGGCCCUUGGAGCGUCGCUUCGUCUCUUGGAUACGGAACCUGAUGAUGUGGGCGGUAGGGUCUUGGAUGAUUCUACCUUCGC